This 449-nucleotide long non-coding RNA is filed under the name Rattus norvegicus (Norway rat). Its description in RNAcentral is "long non-coding RNA NONRATT031887". Lineage: Eukaryota; Metazoa; Chordata; Mammalia; Rodentia; Muridae. The record is from RNAcentral.
AUCUCUAAGAUCACACAAGGGAGAGGCUGACAGGCGUGGAGUUGAGAAUCCUGGCGCUCUAAAUCCAGAGUCAACAUCCCAAUGUCUACUGUGCCGUGGACAGGAGGUUCUCAGGGGAUGAGGCAGCCCUGCAGAGGGACUUGACUCGGGCAGGAGGAAGCGUUCUCACACAGAGGGACAGCAUCUGCAGCGACAGAGACAGGCUCGCUUUGUUGAGGGAGCAGCUGUUGGCCACUUGCUCACUGGCUUGGGCUAAUCCCUCUUUUGAGUGGGAGCUGGAAGCCGGGAUUCUAAAAUAAAGGAAACCGGAGAAGCAUCACAGCAUGUUCAGUGCCCGCUGACUGGGUCAUUAGCUGCUCGAGGUGAGCCCAGUGUGCUGAUUUUGGUACACUCCCUGCUCACCUCAUCCAAAGUCCUCGGACCGUUCCCCUCCCCCCACGCCCCACCCC